This 524-nucleotide ribosomal RNA is filed under the name uncultured bacterium. Its description in RNAcentral is "partial 16S ribosomal RNA". It matches the Rfam family "Bacterial small subunit ribosomal RNA", at positions 28 to 523 of the family's 1533-position model. The record is from RNAcentral.
GACGAACGCUGGCGGCGUGCCUAAUACAUGCAAGACGAGCGCAGGAAAUCGACGGAACCCUUCGGGGGGAAGUCGACGGAAUGAGCGGCGGACGGGUAAGUAACACGUAAAGAACCUGCCCUCAGGUCUGGGAUAACCACGAGAAAUCGGGGCUAAUACCGGAUGGGUCAUCGGACCGCAUGGUCCGAGGAUGAAAGGCGCUUCGGCGUCGCCUGGGGAUGGCUUUGCGGUGCAUUAGCUAGUUGGUGGGGUAAUGGCCCACCAAGGCGACGAUGCAUAGCCGACCUGGGAGGGUGAUCGGCCACACUGGGACUGAGACACGGCCCAGACUCCUACGGGAGGCAGCAGUAGGGAAUCUUCCACAAUGGACGAAAGUCUGAUGGAGCAACGCCGCGUGAACGAUGAAGGCCUUCGGGUCGUAAAGUUCUGUUGUAAGGGAAGAACAAGUGCCGCAGGCAAUGGCGGCACCUUGACGGUACCUUGCGAGAAAGCCACGGCUAACUACGUGCCAGCCGCCGCAGUAA